This is a long non-coding RNA of Gymnodraco acuticeps, 152 nucleotides long. RefSeq lists it as uncharacterized. The record is from RefSeq and is a predicted model, not a curated record. The transcript is spliced from 3 exons. Lineage: Eukaryota; Metazoa; Chordata; Actinopteri; Perciformes; Bathydraconidae.
AACAGAGCAGCGAUGGCACAAGCCAAGAACCAUGGGUGUGAAACCAGGCAGAGUGAGUGACAUGGUGUUCAUUUCCACUAAGCCAAAGCAGUUUACAGUUGCUGACGGUGUAAGGAGUACACGUUACAAGGCCGUGCGGGGGGAGCUGCCAG